GACGAACGCUGGCGGCGUGCUUAACACAUGCAAGUCGAACGAUGAAGCCGGAGCUUGCUCUGGUGAAUUAGUGGCGAACGGGUGAGUAACACGUGAGUAACCUGCCCUUGACUCUGGGAUAACUGCUAGAAAUGGUAGCUAAUACCGGAUACGACCCUCGGAGGCAUCUGCAGGGGGUGGAAAGAAUUUCGGUCAAGGAUGGACUCGCGGCCUAUCAGCUAGUUGGUGAGGUCAUGGCUCACCAAGGCGACGACGGGUAGCCGGCCUGAGAGGGUGACCGGCCACACUGGGACUGAGACACGGCCCAGACUCCUACGGGAGGCAGCAGUGGGGAAUAUUGCACAAUGGGCGCAAGCCUGAUGCAGCAACGCCGCGUGAGGGAUGACGGCCUUCGGGUUGUAAACCUCUUUUAGUAGGGAAGAAGCGAAAGUGACGGUACCUGCAGAAAAAGCACCGGCUAACUACGUGCCAGCCGCCGCGGUAA
This 484-nucleotide ribosomal RNA is filed under the name uncultured bacterium. RNAcentral describes it as "partial 16S ribosomal RNA". It matches the Rfam family "Bacterial small subunit ribosomal RNA", at positions 28 to 523 of the family's 1533-position model. The record is from RNAcentral.